GUGCUUGCUUCGGCAGCACAUAUACUAGAUUUGGAAUGAUACAGAGAAGAUUAGCAUGGCCCUUGUGCAAGGAUGAUACACAAAUUCAUGAAGGGUUUGAUAUAUUU
This 107-nucleotide small nuclear RNA is filed under the name Dasypus novemcinctus (nine-banded armadillo). The record is from RNAcentral. Lineage: Eukaryota; Metazoa; Chordata; Mammalia; Cingulata; Dasypodidae.